This 448-nucleotide ribosomal RNA is filed under the name uncultured bacterium. RNAcentral describes it as "bacterial SSU rRNA". It matches the Rfam family "Bacterial small subunit ribosomal RNA", at positions 329 to 793 of the family's 1533-position model. The record is from RNAcentral.
AGCCAGACUCCUACGGGAGGCAGCAGUGGGGAAUAUUGCACAAUGGGGGAAACCCUGAUGCAGCGACGCCGCGUGAGUGAAGAAGUAUUUCGGUAUGUAAAGCUCUAUCAGCAGGGAAGAAAAUGACGGUACCUGACCAAGAAGCCCCGGCUAACUACGUGCCAGCAGCCGCGGUAAUACGUAGGGGGCAAGCGUUAUCCGGAUUUACUGGGUGUAAAGGGAGCGUAGACGGUUGUGCAAGUCAGAAGUGAAAGCCCGGGGCUCAACUCCGGGACUGCUUUUGAAACUGUGAAACUGGAGUGCAGGAGAGGUAAGCGGAAUUCCUGGUGUAGCGGUGAAAUGCGUAGAUAUCAGGAGGAACACCAGUGGCGAAGGCGGCUUACUGGACGGUAACUGACGUUGAGGCUCGAAAGCGUGGGGAGCAAACAGGAUUAGAUACCCGAGUACG